Molecule: long non-coding RNA, 4828 nt
Filed under: Sus scrofa (pig)
Lineage: Eukaryota; Metazoa; Chordata; Mammalia; Artiodactyla; Suidae
Description: lncRNA (ENSSSCG00000052278.1, ENSSSCG00110018476.1)
Source: RNAcentral
AGCUGUAGCUGCUGGCCUACGCCAGAGCCACAGCAAUGUGGGAUCCAAGCCGAGUCUGCAACCUACACCACAGCUCACGGCAACACCGGAUCAUUAACCCACUGAGCAAGGGCAGGGACCGAACCCGCAACCUCGUGGUUCCUAGUCGGAUUCGUUAACCACUGCGCCAUGACGGGAACUCCUCUUCACUUAAUUUCUUGGAUUGGAUUCAUGGUUUCUGUUGAAGCAUAUCCUCCAUGAGCAUUCAAGAGAAGUAUGAGAGGUGAACGACAUAGCCUUGCUUGUCUGAACAUGUCUUCAUUCUGCCAUUACGUCCGAUAGGGAGUUGCCUGAAUUCGAGGCAUGCGUGAGGGGCAGAUGAAUCUUCCCGGAAGUGGGUUUGGAAAUAAUACCCUUGUUUCACCCCUGCCCCCUGCCAUGUCCUGUAUACCUAAGACCUCGGUCUUCCCAGUCAAUAUAUCUAAGGAAAAAACUACCCUUCUUGCUCAUUCCUAGGGGGUAGGUGUCUGUUGAUAGCUUUCUGUGUUUGUGUGAGUGUGGAGGUGUCUUAUUUCAUAGACGGACUUUCAAAAUAACUUCCUGUUUUCUCUGCUCCCCCUUUGGCACACUCCCCCUCUUCGUUUUACCCACUGGUUUCAAGCAUUCGGUCUUUUUAAAAUAAUUAAUUAAUUAUUUUGGGGGGGGUCUAUUUCUAGGGCUGCUCUUGCGGCAUAUGGAGAUUCCCAGGCUAGGGGUUGAAUCGGGGCUGUAGCCACCGGCCUAUGCCAGAGCCACAGCAACUCGGGAUCCAAGCCAUGUCUGCAACCUAUACCACAGCUCACAACAACGCUGGAUCCUUAACCCAUUGAGCAAGGCCAGGGACCGAAUGCGCAACCACAUGGUUCCUAGUCAGAUUCGUUAACCACUGAGCCAUGAUGGGAACUCCUAAAAAUUAUUUUUAAGAUUUUUUUUUCUAUUAUAGUUGAUUUACAAUGUUCUGUCAAUGUCUGCUAUACAGCAAAGUGACCCAGUUAUACAUAUAUAUAUAUUAUCUUUUCUCAUAUUCCAUCAUGUCCUAUCACAAGUGAUUGGAUGUAGUUUCCUGUGCUGUACAGCAGGACCUCAUUCCUUAUCCAUUCUAAAUGUAAUACUUUGCAUCUACUAACCCCAAACUUCUUGUCCAUCCCACUCUUUUCCCACCUCUUGGGGAACCACAAGUCUGUUCUCCAUGUCUGUGCAUCUAUCACAGAUAGGUUCAUUUGUGACAUACUUUAGAUUUCACAUAUAAGUGAUAUCAUAUGGUAUUUGUCUUUUUCUGACUUACUUCACUUAGUAUGAGAAUCUCUAGUUGCAUCCAUGUUGCUACAAAUGGCAUUAUUUUGUUCUUUUUUAUGGCUGACUAGUAUUCCAUUGUGUAUAUGUACCACAUCUUAAUCCAUUCAUCUGUUGAUGGACAUUUAGGCUGUUUCCAUAUCUUGGCUAUUGUGAAUAGUGCUGAAAUGAACAUAGAGGUGCAUUUGUCUUUUUUUUUUUUUUUUUUUUGACAUGCUUAAAAGGCCAUUUGCAUUUCUUUUCCGUUCUUUUUCUUUCUUUCUUUUACAUGUAUCUUUUUGAAUGAAAGUGUUGUCUGGAUAUAUGCCCAGGAGUGGGAUUGGUGGAUCAUAUGGUAGUUAUUUAUUUAUUUUUGUCUUUUUAGGGCCACACCCAGGGCAUAUGGAAGUUCCCAGGCUAGGGGUUGGAGCUGUAGCUGCUGGCCUACACCAGAGCCACAGCCACACUAGAUCUGAGCCACAUCUGAGACCUAUACCACAACUCAUGGCAAUGCCAGAUCCUUAACUCACUGAGUGAGGCCAGGGAUUGAACCUGCUUCCUCAUGGACAAUAGGUUUGUUACCACUGAGCCACGAGGAGAACUCCCAGUAGUUCCAUAUUUAGUUUUCCGAGGAACCUCUGUACUGUUUUCCAUAAUGGUUUUACCAAGCAUUCAGUCAUAAUGGGAGACUCGUGCAAAUUAGCCCUCUCUGCUUUCUGUUUUCCAUAGUACUAUUGUCUACUUUGUCCCUUUUUUAUACUCUCUUUGUUCCUCUGAAUUUAUAUAAUUUUUGCACUUGAAGUAUCAUUUUAGUGGGGACUUAUGUAGGUGAGAAGAUAUGUAUGUGUUUAAUUGACCACUUAAACCAAAAGCUAUAUAUCAGUUUAUUUAGUAGGACUUUGACAUAGCUUUGCGAAAUGCUGUUUAGAACUGAAAUUUGUUCAGUAUGCAUGCUCACCCUCAUCCUUUUCAUGACAUUUUGUUAAAAGUUGAAAUGGGCAUUGACAUCCAGGGACCAGCAUUGAAACCUAACAAUAUAGCCAAAUCAGAACCUUUCCAUAGUCUGUUAUGUGGAAAUGAUCUUUAGGCAAAGAAUAUCUAGAGUAGAAGAGUUAUAAAUAGAGUCAGGUUUCAUGUAAACAAGGAGAUUCGGUAACCAAUUUCUGGAAAACAUGUAUUUACAGAAAACUACAUAUUCUGGAAAAUAUGUAUAUACAGAAAACUAAGGUGCAUCAUUUGGGAGAAACAGUAUAAUACCUCUUGAACAUAAUGUGAAGUUAAAUUCUGAUCAAUUCUAAAGUGGCUAAGUUUGAUUUGUUCAUCAUAUUGCCUCUGAUGUUGCUGUAUUAUUUUGAAGCCUUCAUAUGAAAAUUCUGAGAUGAAUAUAUAUUGAGUGAAAGUCAAUAGGUCUUAGUGUCAGGAGAAGUAAGCCCUCCCUUUUUUUUCUUUCUUUUUUUUUCCAUUUUAUGGCUGCACCUGCAGCAUAUGGAAGUUCCUGGGCCAGGGAUUGAAUCUGAGCCACAUACGUGACCUAUGUUGCAGCUGCAGCAAUUGGAUCCUUUAACCCACUGCACCCAGCCAGGGAUUGAACCUAGGCCUCUGCAGCAACCAGAGUCACUGCAGUCAGAUUCUUAACCCACUGCACCAUGGCAGGAACUCUAAACCCUCCUUCUUAGGCAGUUAUUUACACAGUUCCAUUACUGGUCCUUAAUACUAAGUUUUACCCAAUUUUUUUUCAGAGAUGAGAAUUGCUAAGAAUUUAGGGUUUAAAUUUAAUGUAUUUCUAAGUAUUUAUCUCCUGAGGUUUGAUUAUGAGUGUUUAGAAAUCAUUCAAGGUCGAUGAAUGUCAGAAAGCCAGCAGAGAUAGCCCAGCUCUUAUUCAACAGAAGAGAAACCACCCAGGCGGAAUGCACACAUUUGGGGAAUUCCACACAUUUGGGGAAAAAAAACUUUAUUCAGGGAUUCAAGUUGAUUGACUGGAUAUCAGAGAAGGAAAACUAUGCAUGAAAAGGGUGGGAAAAUCUUCAGGGAAUUGUCAACCCUCACUGAAAUGUACCAAAGCAAUGAUCCAAGGGAGAAAUCUUACAUACACACUGAAUGUGGAAAAGCCCUCUUCCAGGAGCCAGAACCCUGUACACUCUGGAGAAGUCAGAAAGGAGGGAAAUGUCAUGAGUGUGCUAAAUACGAUAACGCAGUUAGCAAUAGAGGAUACCCUGCCACACACCAAAUGGUGCAUGCUGGGAGAUCUUCUACAAGAAGACUGAAUGUGAGAAGGCCCGGAAGACAGAACUCACUGUGCACCAUAGAAUCCACAUCAGAGAGAUGGAUCUGAAUAAGUGUGUGUGUGUGUGUGUGUGAGUCUUCAGCAGGGAGCCAGGACUCUAAGUCAGAAAUUUCACAUGGAAAGAAGUCCUCCAAAUGUGGAAAAGCAUUUACAAGAAAUCAUCUGAAAUCAAAGUCAUAAGAGUUCAGAGUGGGGAAAAUCACAAAAAUGUAAAAACUAUGGGGAAAUUUUCCAUUAGAAGUCAAGACACACGGCACCUCAGAGAAGGCAUACUGGGAGAAACACCAAGAAAACAAUAAAUACAGGAAAGCUUCAUUUGGAAAUCAGAGCCCACUACUCUCUAAUAUAGGAGAAAAUUAAAAGCAUCAAUGUGGAAAAACAUCAGCAGGAAAACACACCUCAUCAUAUGUCAGAAAACCCACACAGGAGAGAAGCCGUAUGAAAUAGUGAAUUUUGGGAAGUAUUCAGCAAUAUAUGAAACAUCAUAAUUCACACUGCAGAGAACUCCUAGGACUGCAACAAAUGUAGGGAGAAUCUGUACACCAAAAAGGUUAUUCUGAGGAGAAGCUCCAUUAAAGAAUGCAGAAACAUCAAGCUCCAAGGACAAAGUAUAUUAUGCAGAGACCUCAUCUAGGAAAGAGUCUCUAUGUUGUAUGAAGUGUGUUUUUUUGUUUUUUGUUUUUGGUCUUUUUGUCUUUUUAGGGCUGUACCUGCGGCAUACGAAGGUUCUCAGGCUAGGGGUCUAAUCAGAGCUACAGCUGCCCACCUACACCAGAGCCACAGCAACGCCAGAUCCGAGCCGCAUCUGUGACCUACACCACAGCUCACGGCAAUGCUGGAUCCUUAACCCAGUGAGCGAGGCCAGAGAUUGAACCUGUAACCUCAUCAUUCCUAGUCGGAUUCAUUUCUGCUGUGCCACAGCGGGAACUCCUGUAUGAAGUGUGUUUGAUCUUCAGAGUCAGACAUUAGAAACUAGAGAACUCAGGACUUCCCAUUGUUGCUCAAUGGAAAUGAACCCAACUUAGUAUUCGCUUGCUUAGUAUUUAGCCUCGCUCAGUGGGUUAAGGAUCUGGCAUUGCCAUGAGAUGCAGCUGCAGCUCUAAUUUGACCCCUAGCCUGGGAACUUCCAUAUGCCACAGAUGUGGCCAAAAAAACCAAACAAACAAAACAAAACUAGACAACUCAUACUGAUUAAAAAGAGUCGAUAUAACAAAUUUAAAUUCUACCCUAGGGAAAUAAAACUCCAUAACUUAC